AACGAACGCUGGCGGCAUGCCUAACACAUGCAAGUCGAACGAGACCUUCGGGUCUAGUGGCGCACGGGUGCGUAACGCGUGGGAACCUGCCCUUAGGUUCGGAAUAACUCCCCGAAAGGGGCGCUAAUACCGGAUAAUGUCUUCGGACCAAAGAUUUAUCGCCUUUGGAUGGGCCCGCGUUGGAUUAGCUAGUUGGUAGGGUAAAAGCCUACCAAGGCGACGAUCCAUAGCUGGUCUGAGAGGAUGAUCAGCCACACUGGGACUGAGACACGGCCCAGACUCCUACGGGAGGCAGCAGUGGGGAAUAUUGGACAAUGGGCGAAAGCCUGAUCCAGCAAUGCCGCGUGAGUGAUGAAGGCCUUAGGGUUGUAAAGCUCUUUUACCCGGGAUGAUAAUGACAGUACCGGGAGAAUAAGCGCCGGCUAACUCCGUG
RNAcentral lists this ribosomal RNA (433 nucleotides) under uncultured bacterium. RNAcentral describes it as "partial 16S ribosomal RNA". It matches the Rfam family "Bacterial small subunit ribosomal RNA", at positions 29 to 507 of the family's 1533-position model. The record is from RNAcentral.